Mangifera indica (mango) is the source of this 2297-nucleotide long non-coding RNA. RefSeq lists it as uncharacterized. The transcript has 3 exons. Lineage: Eukaryota; Viridiplantae; Streptophyta; Magnoliopsida; Sapindales; Anacardiaceae. The record is from RefSeq and is a predicted model, not a curated record.
AUUUUUGUGAACGGGUUAAAUAUGCGGACGGGUUCAAGUUCGUCUGAUGGACUAAGUAGCAGUGGACCUGGACGUUUCUGCUUCGAGUCGGCAACUGGUAUAUCCGAAGCUGAAUGAAGGAAAUUAUCGAGAUUGGCGAGCACAAGUUCUGUUCGCAGUCGAAGCCUAUGGUUUGGAGGGACAUCUCACAGUGAUAACCUGGUAAUUAAGAAGAAAUGACAAGGGUAUUUCAGGAAUAAUAUUGUUCGAUUGAAGGCCAAUGGACGCUUCCGUUUACUCUUUUGGUAAUUCCCUUUUCAAGUCUGAUUAUGAAAUCUCUCUCUUUUAGGAAAACGUUUCAGCCUCACCAUAUAUAAUUGGCAAUUUUAUUUAGAGCAAUGUUAUUGUGUAUACAUAUUUAAAUAUAUAAAAUCAUUUAAUCAUAUAAUUAUAUGAGUAGUCAAUUGAUCCUCAAUAUUGGGUGCACAUAUUUUUAUUGUUAGUCUUUCCUCUGCCAGAUGAGAUUUUCAAGAUUUUUUAUUUAAUUCUUUGUUUUCAUAGCUGAACUCUUUGAAUUUUUCUCUUAAAUUAUACUAUUUUUUUCAUUAUUGUGAAAUUUUAUAUGAAUUUGUCCUCUGGAAAUUGUUCUUUUAAGUUAUUUAACAUGUGAGCUGGUUUUAGUUUUGGUUUUUGGCUUGUAGAUUUUGUUCUUAAAUACCAUUCAUAUUGAAUCUCUUAAUUUACAAAUUGGAAAAAUGAGGUCUCACUGUAACUCCAGGAGGAAACUUGCUGUAAAUUCUCAUUAGUUCUUAUCAUUCGGAGACAAUUUUGAUCUCGAUGAAGAGCUCAACAUGGAAAGAUGCCUGGAUGAUAAUGAAUGUAUGUGGUUGUCUUCCAGUUUUCCUUUACCUUCGAUUUUUUUUGCAGGGCACAGACUCUAUGAAGUGAUGAAUACCUGGUGGUCUGCCGACAACAGACUCUUCACUGGGCUACUUCAUCAGUUCUUACAAUCUCCCCUGUAUACCAUUCUCAGUUAUAACACAACAUGCAAUGGAGCAGGAAAAGUAAUACAAUCAUAAAAGAUAAUGAAAAUAUGUAUUGUAUUGAAUAUUUUCCCAUGAAGUUUACAAAUUAAUUCUCCAAUACAAUGACUAUUUCCAUUUACUGCUACUGCUAAUCAAUUACAAUUCUGGCAACCAUUUAAUCACCAGAAAGUUACACAAAAACUCAGUUGAACCCCCACAGUGCAUGCUCAGCAUCCGAGAAAACCACUCUUUCCCCACUUUUCCUUAGUUGUUUCACCUGCCUCCCUUUCCAGCACCUGCUCUCCUUUUUCAACUCUUUCCACAGCUACUUCUUUCUCCCCUUCCCCUGUUUUGCCACGUUUCAUAUUUUUAGUGGCUGGUUUUGCAUUAGGAUAACAGCCUCCCGAUUUUGCAUUAGAGUAAUAGCCUUCUGAUCCCUUUCUCCAACUGUUACAAUUUUUCCCUCUUAUACCCUCUCUUUUCCUGCAGGAAAUAUAUUUAUGAGUCCUAACAAGAGGAAACUUUCCUGGAAGGCCUGGUUCCAGGGAAUUCUGAAAUAGAUUUAGGAACCGAUCUCAAUUCGACUUCUCAGGUUUCGGAUAAGGAGAAAACCUGCAGCUCCAAUCCUGAAGACAAAUUGUUAAAUUAUCCUGAAGAGACCCUGGAAGAUCUGGAUGACGAUGAACCUCUAUUCUGGCCAUUUAAACUUGAGCGGUGUUGGAAUUCUGAAGAAACCUGGAAAAGCUUCACAAUGUCCCCCCGGAAAGAUAUAAAAAAACUUGGAAAUACUCCUGAAGGGACCUGUAAAAUGCAUUCAAAAGAGAGGUCUAGGAGAAAAGCAAUGAUGAACUCAGGCAGUAGUAAAAAGAAUGUCAGGAAAGUCAACAACAUGCCUUUGAGAUUGCAAAAAUCGAAAAAAAUUCUGCAAAAAUAGUUCCAUUAGAGAUUGCAGAUGAUAUAAGAUCUAAGGAUGGUUAUCUCUUCCAGGAUGUUUUUGCAAUGAAGCAGGAAGUUCCGAUCGAGACUUUUUUAGGCCUUGGCGAAUUUGAUGGACAUGACGGGGUAGAUUCUGAUGUUAAUGUUGAUGUUUUCUUCAUGGAAGAGUCUUCAUGAGAAUCCAGGAACAUUACUGUCUUCUUUUGGUAGUUAAAGGAUUUUACAAGAGGGAUUGAACAAUAGACGCUUUGUUCCAUUAGGUAUCAUCUAUUUCUUUAUCAGAUGGAUGUGUUCAAAUUGCUGAUAUAGCUUGUAUGUAAUGUUUGAUUCAAUUGGAAGAUACUAGAGCUUUCAAAA